GGGCCUAAAAUGCCAGGUCGAACGAGAGACCUUCGGGUCUCUAGUGGCGAACGGGUGAGUAACACGUAGGGAACCUGCCCGCGCACCGGGAAUACGCUCUGGAAACGGAGAACAAAUCCCGAUGUACAGGAAGGAGGCAUCUUCUUUCUGUGAAACAUCCUUUCGGGGAUGGGGCGCGGAUGGACCUGCGGUGCAUUAGUUUGUUGGCGGGGUAAAGGCCCACCAAGACGAUGAUGCAUAGCCGGCCUGAGAGGGCGGACGGCCACAUUGGGACUGAGACACGGCCCAGACUCCUGCGGGAGGCAGCAGUAGGGAAUUUUCGUCAAUGGGCGCAAGCCUGAACGAGCGAUGCCGCGUGAGUGAAGAAGGCCUUCGGGUCGUAAAGCUCUGUUGCGGGGGAAAAAAGGCAGCAUCAGGAAAUGGGUGCUGACUGAUGGUGCCCCGCCAGAAAGUCACGGCUAACUACGUGCCAGCAGCCGCGGUAAUACGUAGGUGGCGAGCGUUAUCCGGAAUGAUUGGGCGUAAAGGGUGCGCAGGCGGUCCUGCAAGUCUGGAGUGAAACGCAUGAGCUCAACUCAUGCAUGGCUUUGGAAACUGGAGGACUGGAGAGCAGGAGAGGGCGGUGGAACUCCAUGUGUAGCGGUAAAAUGCGUAGAUAUAUGGAAGAACACCAGUGGCGAAGGCGGCCGCCUGGCCUGUUGCUGACGCUGAGGCACGAAAGCGUGGGGAGCAAAUAGGAUUAGAUACCCU
Molecule: ribosomal RNA, 750 nt
Filed under: uncultured bacterium
Lineage: Bacteria
Description: bacterial SSU rRNA
Rfam family: Bacterial small subunit ribosomal RNA
Source: RNAcentral